Molecule: unclassified non-coding RNA, 394 nt
Filed under: soil metagenome
Description: partial contains 5.8S ribosomal RNA, internal transcribed spacer 2, and large subunit ribosomal RNA
Rfam family: 5.8S ribosomal RNA (bases 1-121)
Source: RNAcentral
GAUGAAGAACGUGCGAAAUGCGAUACUUGGUGUGAAUUGCAGAAUCCCGUGAACCAUCGAGUCUUUGAACGCAAGUUGCGCCCGAAGCCAUCAGGUUGAGGGCACGUCUGCCUGGGCGUCACAUAUCGUUGCCCAAUGCCUAUUGCAGUGCAAUAGGAAUUUCUAGGGCGAAUGAUGGCUUCCCGUGAGCGUUGUUGCCUCGCGGUUGGUUGAAAAUCGAGUCCUUGGUAGGGUGUGCCAUGGUAGAUGGUGGUCGAGUUAGAACGAUACCGAUCAUGUGCAUGCUCCCCAAAAUAUGGCCUCUAUGACCCACACGCGUCUUUUGACGCUCAUGACGAGACCUCAGGUCAGGCGGGGCUACCCGCUGAAUUUAAGCAUAUCAAUAAGCGGAGGA